This 239-nucleotide long non-coding RNA is filed under the name Elaeis guineensis (African oil palm). RNAcentral's name for it is "long non-coding RNA (EGUI_LNC034075)". The record is from RNAcentral. Lineage: Eukaryota; Viridiplantae; Streptophyta; Magnoliopsida; Arecales; Arecaceae.
GGCCGUCAUGUUGUAACAAUAUUUUUAGAAUGUCGGAUAACAAAUUCUGAACUUGAUUGUGCUGAACUAUUAGUAUCUACUGCUCUUCCGAAUAAUACAGUUAGAUUAGCUAUCACCAAGUUAAAUGCAUCUUCAUAUAUAGAGGCAACCUUCGCUAGCUUCAUCAAUCGAUGACUCAUCAAAGCAUAUCCAUACCAAAUAAGAUAUCGAUAUGCUAUAAUAGGUUGUCAUAGUUAUAG